Paramuricea clavata is the source of this 1878-nucleotide non-coding RNA. Lineage: Eukaryota; Metazoa; Cnidaria; Anthozoa; Malacalcyonacea; Plexauridae. The record is from the annotation of a GenBank genome assembly.
GUGUCCUAAAUUUCCUCGGGAGAUAGCUUUCGUGUGCUGCAAGCUUUAUAGUUAUUAUGGCUUGGGUGAAUUAAGUGCAGUUGUUUUGUGCGUAUGGUAUAAUUUUCAUAUCAUAUUCAAAGUUUUUGCAAAUUGCCCUUAUUAAUGCAUCUUAUAUAUGUAUGUAUUUGAUGCAUCUUUUGUUAUGGUUCAUUUUUAAAAUUCUUUAUCUCUUUCCGUCCUAAAAUUGUUUUUUGUGAAAAGACAAGUGCGUAUGUACCGCCGAAAAACAUUGAAAUGAGAAAGUGAUCACAGCAUACGCGCAUACUUCUGUCGCCAAAACAUAAAUUAAACAGGGAAAUUCCCUCUGUUUCAUUGCCUGAAACGUCAACAAGCUUUCAUUGACCUUUGACUCGUACCCAGUACAUAAAAUGUAAAGUAAAUGAUGAUGCAUGAUGGGAAUGAUCGAGGCUCAAAUUUUCUUUGUCGUUCCCAUCAUGCAUCAUACUCCUCAGUCCACUGAUCUAUGUAUGUACUCAUUGACGACUGGGUACGACUCAGCUGCGAGAAUGCAUGUUUUUAGAUACGGUAAUAUCUCUACUAAGCCCCGCUUAUUUUUUGAGGCACUGGAGAGGGGCAAAAUUACAUGAUAAUUUUGAUUCAAGCCUCAUACAUUGUUUAGCAAUAAUUUAUUUGAGCAAGAUAAUCAAGGUAUUUCCUUUGCCUCCCCAAUUUUCGCUGCCCGUAGAAAUACCACGCAGGCUAGAUAAUCAAUAAAUCUAUUAGAAAGGGGGAUCUUAUUAGUGAGGGGAGGCUUAUUUAAGAGGAGGCUGAUUAGGGAGGAGGGCAUGUUACAGAGGGGGUGUAUUUAGAGGCGGGCUUAUUUGACUUAUUUGAGACGGAGGCUUAUUAGAUAUAAAGGGGCAUAUUUAAAGAGGGAGCUUGUUUGAGGGGGGCAUUAGAGGGAGAGGGGGUCGUUGAUAGGAAGCUUUCAAAGACAAAUGCAUUAGUUGCUCGUGUUAGUGUUUUGUAAUUAUAUUAAAUAGCAUAUUUUGUUUUAGUAGGGGUCUGUGCUCAAAAUGAAAGGCUAAUAUAAAUUGCGGAAAUAAAAUAAGUGGCAGUUAGAUGUCCAAGGGUGUAGACGUUUUGUUGAAGACAGUGUAUGGUCGUCAAGUCAAUUAUACAACUUAGUAGUUAUUACCAUGAACCAUAUUAAACCUCUAAUUGUCAUUGCUAAAAACUAAAUAUUAGUUGUAUUUGAUUACAUUAUGAUACUAUGAACUACACUACUAAAUUAUUAUUAUAUACAAAAAGAUUGAAUCCUAUACAAAAUUAAGCAAGCCUUGUGAGCAGUAAUGGUCAAAACAUGACCAGAAAAUGAGCCCCGUCAGAUUCAAGUAUGGUGCGGUGCGACUUAUGGAAGUCCCAGUAGCUUAUACGAAGACCGGAUGGCACUAUCCACCAGAUAGUGAGUAGUGAUAGAUGUGUUUUCAAGUUUUCUAAAAUUGUCUCUUGAUUGCAUGGCUUCGUAUUCUCAGUGGAAGGUUUUUUAUAUUUUAAUAUUGUGGUAUUCGUAGUUUCACAGUUUUUCACGCUUCUUGCAAAGGUUGAAAAAUGACUACAUUCCGAUGAAUAGUGCUAUAUGCAGAACACUCGCAUCAGUUUGGUGUUGGUGGUCGUGCUCAUCCGAAUCUGUAUACUUGAUUGGCUAAGUCGCUACGACCAAUGCGUUGAAAUACAUAGUUCAAAAGACAAAGGACACACUUUUGUCCACCAAGAUAGCAUCUCUGUAAGGGCGUUACUAUAAAGGCGUUGAUCAUCUCAUCAGAUGGAGUGGCAUGUAAUUGUAUGGAAUCCUUGACCAUACUGGAAGGGAGGCUUGGAUAGACUACAAAAAUA